AUAUCCCCGUGUAGUAUACGGGUUUCACACCUACUAAACGAAUAUAGCGCAAUUUAUAGAGAAAAUUUACAAUACAACUAUAAUCAUAAAUAAAUAAAAACAUAUUGGAUGUAUAUCUAGAUUAUACAUCUAUUCAUAAAUAAUAGUAUCACAAAAAGUUACAAUGUAAUACAUAUCUAUUUUUCUAUAAUCACAUAUGAAUACAACAUAAACAAAAAUUCGAAUAAAAAUAAGUAACUAUUAUUAUAUAAUCAUAAAUGAAUAAGGCAAUAUCUUUUCCACUUUGUUUUGUUUGGUUGUAUAUUAGCACUCCAAUAUCCCGUUUGUAGAUGCAUCUCGAGUUCCUCUACACACUGUCAAAUAAAGAAAUAAAUACAAUUAAAUGAAAAGGAUUUAGAGAAACACAUAUGAUGUCAAACUAUAAAUGAAAAGACAUGAACAAAAUAAAAAAUACAUAUGAAUUCAUAUAAUUGUAAUUAUAUUCAUACAUGAAUAUAUCACAUAUGAAUACACUUAUAAUCAUAAAUUAAUAUGACAUGAACAAAAAAUAAAAUACAUAUGAAUUCUUAUACUUGUAAUUAUAAAGUCAUCAACAUAUCACUUUAUAAUGUUUUCUUGAACAUUACCAUUCCAACAUUAUAUUCCAGAAGAUCUUAGAUUUCACAGUACAAAUAUAGAAACAUAAAUCUAGUACAAUUUUAAUCAUAAAGGACUAAAAUACAACGAAAAGUUGAAAAUACAUAAUAAUCACAAAUGAAAAAAAUCAUAUGGUUCAAUUCAUAUAUGAUUAAAGUCUUUUUCACAGAACUUGAUUUAUAUAUUUUUAUUAGCUUCAUCUAUACAUUAUAUUCAUAAAGAAAUAACUACGGAUAUAGCCUAGAACUUUUCUUCAUCAAAACUUUCAAAAAGNNNNNNNNNNNNNNNNNNNNNNNNNNNNNNNNNNNNNNNNNNNNNNNNNNNNNNNNNNNNNNNNNNNNNNNNUAUAUAUAUAAUGUUAAAAUCAAAAGAAAAAAUAACUCUUAUAAAAAGUAAAUACUUUUACAGAAUAUAAAAUUCCAAAACAAGCAUAAACUAUCAAUAAGUUAAUCCAACAAAUCAAAAUUGUAGUGCUCAUAUAUUCGAACAUUAAGUUUUAGCAUAUAUUGAAAAAUUGAGUAAAUAUCAAUUGAGUGUUUACUUGAUCGGAGUCGCUAAUGUAAUCAUAAAAAAUCGAUAUUGCUUUAAGUAAAAAACUCCAUUUAUGAUUUAUUGUCACCACUUAGCAAUUUUAAAAGUAAAUUUUAAAUCAAAGUAACAAACUUUGACUUUUAACAAAUAAACUCCAAUUAUUCUUAGCCAUUCAAAAUUAACUUCCAAAAUAAGAAAUGACAAACCUUAUUGGUGUUUCAAAGUCAGAUUUUGGUUACGUGGGAGUAAAGAGGCACGAAAGGUUGAUAUUUUGUUGAUUGAUCUUUCUUGAAGCUUUUUUAUUUUGCCAAUUGAUCCACACACGCACGAAGAAAGAAGAAGAAUGAGGCAACAUAAGUAGGUUGUGAUGAAAAAGAGCACCAGGGCGGAGAUGAGGUAGCGACGACAACACAAAAAUUGUGCUCACUUUGGCCCCGAAAAUCGAUUCAACCCUCGAGCCUCUUGAUCUUCUCGAUUUACAAGUCGUGACAACAAGUUGUAGGUUUUGUAGAUGUAGUAAAGGAUAAAAGAUGAAGGUUGCGAAGAUGGUUUUGGAAGUGUAUGGUGGUGGCGGCUCAAUUAGGGUUUAAAGGUUUGAAAACUGUAUUUGAGAGUGAGAGGAAGAAAUAUACGUAAGUAAGAGAGAGAGAAAGGGUGAGAGAGAUUCCAAC
RNAcentral lists this long non-coding RNA (1838 nucleotides) under Lactuca sativa (garden lettuce). RNAcentral describes it as "long non-coding RNA (LSAT_LNC002253)". The record is from RNAcentral. Lineage: Eukaryota; Viridiplantae; Streptophyta; Magnoliopsida; Asterales; Asteraceae.